AACGAACGCUGGCGGCAUGCCUAACACAUACAAGUCGAACGAGACCUUCGGGUCUAGUGGCGCACGGGUGCGUAACGCGUGGGAACCUGCCCUUAGGUUCGGAAUAACUCCCCGAAAGGGGUGCUAAUACCGGAUAAUGUCUUCGGACCAAAGAUUUAUCGCCUUUGGAUGGGCCCGCGUUGGAUUAGCUAGUUGGUAGGGUAAAAGCCUACCAAGGCGACGAUCCAUAGCUGGUCUGAGAGGAUGAUCAGCCACACUGGGACUGAGACACGGCCCAGACUCCGACGGAAGGGAGCAGUGGGGAAUAUUGGACACUGAGCGAUAGCGUGAUCCAGCCAUGCCGCGUGAGUGAUGCAGGCCUUAGGAUUGUACAGCUCUUUUACCCGGGAUGAUAAUGACAGUACCGGGAGAAUAAGCUCCGGCUAACUCCGUG
Molecule: ribosomal RNA, 433 nt
Filed under: uncultured bacterium
Lineage: Bacteria
Description: partial 16S ribosomal RNA
Rfam family: Bacterial small subunit ribosomal RNA
Source: RNAcentral